UACGGAGGGUGCGAGCGUUAAUCGGAAUUACUGGGCGUAAAGCGUGCGUAGGCGGCUUGUUAAGUUGGAUGUGAAAGCCCCGGGCUCAACCUGGGAACUGCACCCAAAACUGGCAAGCUAGAGUGCGGAAGAGGAGUGUGGAAUUUCCUGUGUAGCGGUGAAAUGCGUAGAUAUAGGAAGGAACACCAGUGGCGAAGGCGACACUCUGGUCUGACACUGACGCUGAGGUACGAAAGCGUGGGGAGCAAACAGG
RNAcentral lists this ribosomal RNA (253 nucleotides) under uncultured Endozoicomonas sp. RNAcentral describes it as "partial 16S ribosomal RNA". It matches the Rfam family "Bacterial small subunit ribosomal RNA", at positions 524 to 776 of the family's 1533-position model. Lineage: Bacteria; Pseudomonadati; Pseudomonadota; Gammaproteobacteria; Oceanospirillales; Endozoicomonadaceae. The record is from RNAcentral.